This 497-nucleotide ribosomal RNA is filed under the name uncultured bacterium. Its description in RNAcentral is "partial 16S ribosomal RNA". It matches the Rfam family "Bacterial small subunit ribosomal RNA", at positions 28 to 507 of the family's 1533-position model. The record is from RNAcentral.
GACGAACGCUGGCGGCGUGCCUAAUACAUGCAAGUCGAACGAACGGAUAAAGAGCUUGCUCUUUUGAAGUUAGUGGCGGACGGGUGAGUAACACGUGGGUAACCUGCCUCACAGCUGGGGAUAACAUCGAGAAAUCGAUGCUAAUACCGAAUGUGCUGAACAUCAUAAGAUGUUCAAGUGAAAGACGGUUUCGGCUGUCACUGUGAGAUGGACCCGCGCUGGAUUAGCUAGUUGGUAAGGUAAUGGCUUACCAAGGCGACGAUCCAUAGCCGACCUGAGAGGGUGAUCGGCCACAUUGGGACUGAGACACGGCCCAAACUCCUACGGGAGGCAGCAGUAGGGAAUCUUCGGCAAUGGACGAAAGUCUGACCGAGCAACGCCGCGUGAGCGAAGAAGGCCUUCGGGUCGUAAAGCUCUGUUGUUAGAGAAGAACAUGGGUGAGAGUAACUGUUCACCCCUUGACGGUAGCUAACCAGAAAGCCACGGCUAACUACGUG